GCAGUAGCCACGGUAAUACGAAGGGUGCAAGCGUUACUCGGAAUUACUGGGCGUAAAGCGUGCGUAGGUGGUGGUUUAAGUCCGUUGUGAAAGCCCUGGGCUCAACCUGGGAAUUGCAGUGGAUACUGGGUCACUAGAGUGUGGUAGAGGAUAGUGGAAUUUCCGGUGUAGCAGUGAAAUGUGUAGAGAUCGGAAGGAACAUCUGUGGCGAAGGCGACUAUCUGGGCCAACACUGACACUGAGGCACGAAAGCGUGGGGAGCAAACAGGAUUAGAUACCCGAGUAGUCCCUGUCUCUUAUAC
RNAcentral lists this ribosomal RNA (302 nucleotides) under uncultured bacterium. Its description in RNAcentral is "partial 16S ribosomal RNA". It matches the Rfam family "Bacterial small subunit ribosomal RNA", at positions 508 to 807 of the family's 1533-position model. The record is from RNAcentral.